GGGAAGGCACGGCAUAGAGGGUGAGACCCCCGUAUGCGAAAGCGGAAGUUGGCCGGCGGUAUCCUGAGUACCUCGGGGCACGAGCGUCCCCGAGGGAAGCUGGGGGGACCAUCCUCCAAGGCUAAGUACUACCUGCUGACCGAUAGUGCACAAGUACCGUGAGGGAAAGGUGAAAAGUACCCCGAGAGGGGAGUGAAAUAGUACCUGAAACCGCAUGCCUACAAACAGUCGGAGCUCGAAAGAGUGACGGCGUACCUUUUGCAUAAUGAGCCAGCGAGUUGCGUUUCGUGGCGAGGCUAAGCCGUCAGGUGGAGCCGUAGGGAAACCGAGUCUGAAUAGGGCAUUAGUCACGGGAUGCAGACCCGAAGCCAGGCGAUCUACCCAUGGCCAGGGUGAAGCGUGGGUAACACUGCGUGGAGGCCCGAACUCACCGAGGUUGAAAACUCGGGGGAUGAGCUGUGGGUAGGAGUGAAAGGCUAAUCAAGCUUGGAAAUAGCUGGUCUCCCGAAAGAUAUUGACGUAUCGCGUCGGAUA
This 534-nucleotide ribosomal RNA is filed under the name uncultured bacterium. RNAcentral describes it as "bacterial LSU rRNA". It matches the Rfam family "Bacterial large subunit ribosomal RNA", at positions 344 to 888 of the family's 2925-position model. The record is from RNAcentral.